RNAcentral lists this ribosomal RNA (429 nucleotides) under Actinomycetes bacterium. Its description in RNAcentral is "Actinobacteria bacterium partial 16S ribosomal RNA". It matches the Rfam family "Bacterial small subunit ribosomal RNA", at positions 355 to 776 of the family's 1533-position model. Lineage: Bacteria; Bacillati; Actinomycetota; Actinomycetes. The record is from RNAcentral.
UAGGGAAUCUUCCGCAAUGGGCGAAAGCCUGACGGAGCAACGCCGCGUGAGUGAUGAAGGUCUUCGGAUCGUAAAACUCUGUUAUUAGGGAAGAACAAAUGUGUAAGUAACUACGCACGUCUUGACGGUACCUAAUCAGAAAGCCACGGCUAACUACGUGCCAGCAGCCGCGGUAAUACGUAGGUGGCAAGCGUUAUCCGGAAUUAUUGGGCGUAAAGCGCGCGUAGGCGGUUUUUUAAGUCUGAUGUGAAAGCCCACGGCUCAACCGUGGAGGGUCAUUGGAAACUGGAAAACUUGAGUGCAGAAGAGGAAAGUGGAAUUCCAUGUGUAGCGGUGAAAUGCGCAGAGAUAUGGAGGAACACCAGUGGCGAAGGCGACUUUCUGGUCUGUAACUGACGCUGAUGUGCGAAAGCGUGGGGAUCAAACAGG